GAUGUGCCCAGAUGGGAUUAGCUAGUAGGUGGGGUAAUGGCUCACCUAGGCGACGAUCCCUAGCUGGUCUGAGAGGAUGACCAGCCACACUGGAACUGAGACACGGUCCAGACUCCUACGGGAGGCAGCAGUGGGGAAUAUUGCACAAUGGGCGCAAGCCUGAUGCAGCCAUGCCGCGUGURUGAAGAAGGCCUUCGGGUUGUAAAGCACUUUCAGCGAGGAGGAAGGCAUUGUACUUAAUAACCGCGGUGAUUGACGUUACUCGCAGAAGAAGCA
RNAcentral lists this ribosomal RNA (276 nucleotides) under Ralstonia solanacearum. RNAcentral's name for it is "partial 16S ribosomal RNA". It matches the Rfam family "Bacterial small subunit ribosomal RNA", at positions 224 to 492 of the family's 1533-position model. Lineage: Bacteria; Pseudomonadati; Pseudomonadota; Betaproteobacteria; Burkholderiales; Burkholderiaceae. The record is from RNAcentral.